GACUGAACUUUUUACCAAAGACUUGGUGUUCUGUAGAAGUAUGAGCAGAUGAGUGACAAGAUCUGGUUUAUAUGUUAAGAAGUUCUCAGCUGUAAGGUGAAUAGAUUGGAGGUGUUGGGGCAAAGGCAGGGGACCCAGUGAAGACAAGGAGUGAGGCUCUAUACUGAGGCCCUGGUAGAAGUGGAGCAGAUGGGCCACCUAAAGAGCUACUAGGAAGUUGACACCAAUAAGAUGUCGUUAGUCUGUGUAUGGGGAGUGAGGGAAAGGAAGAACUUGCCAGUUUCCAGGUUUUAAUCCUUCCAAAGGAUUUCUGCAGAAAGACACUGGAAGAGCUGUAUUCCUACUUAUCCUUAAAGGAAAGAAACUGCCCUUGAAUUCCAAGGACAUGAUUACUGAGCUGGAAUUCCAAAUAAUGUGUCCCAGUGAGACUCCUGGGGGUAGUUUUGUCCGGUAACUGUGUGUGUUAGAUGAAACUGCAGACUUCCAGCCACUCUUUAUCUUACCAUGUCUGUUAACAGUUAAUUUGCUCUGAUGAAUUUGCCCAUCUUGGAGAAGGGGGCUCUGCUGACUGUUUUUUAUCUUGGAGUAAAUGUCCUUUGAUUAGGAAGGUUCUAGACUAUAUUGUUAAAACAACAUUGGAAGGCUGGGCAUGGUGGCUCAUGCCUGUAAUCCCAACACUUUGGGAGGCCAAGGCAGGCGUAUCGUUUGAGCCCAGGAGUUCAAGACCAGCCUGGGCAACAUGACAAAACUCUCUCUACUGAAAAUACAAAAUUAGCCAGGCAUGGUGGAGUGCGCCUGUAUUCCCAGCCACUUAGGAGGCUGAGGUGGGAGAACCACCUGAGCCCAGGAAGUUGAGGCUGCAUUGAGCCAUGAUCGUACCACUGCACUGCAGCUAGGUGACAGCAAAACCCUGUCUCAAAAAAACACCAAACAACAUAGGAUACUGUUAUAUAACAGCUAGUUCCUAUACCUGUAAUCUUAUUAAUUCAUUUAAAAUACAUCAGUGUGGGCCGGGUGUGGUGGCUCACACUUGUAAUCCCAACACUUUGGAAGGCCAAGGCGGGAGGAUCACUUGAAGCCACGAAUUUAAGACCAGCCUGGGUAAUAUAGCGAGACCCUGUCUCUACAAAAAAAAUAAAUAAAUAAAAAAUAAAAUAUGUCAGUGUGUUUUGGGAACAGGUUGAGAGCAUAGCAUGCUCAUAUUAUAUAUUCAUUUUACCACUUAGAUUUGAAUUGAGGCAUCUCUUAGAAUAGGUUUUAUUUUGUGCAUACCCUCAGAGGACAUUGUCCCUCUCAUAGAAACAGAUAUUCAAACAUGUAAUCUGCUAUUUUAUUUUAAGGUAAUACAUUUUUAUGAUUACUGUUUGGAAAAAAAAAAAAAAAAGCAACUAUAGGUUAGCAGUUGCUCCAGAAUCUCCAAAACAAGCUUAGGAGAUUUUUAUUCUUUACCAGAAAUGAGAUGGCUUGGGAGGAAGGUGUGUGCAUUACACACAGGUUGCUCUGUGGUCACUGCUCCUUCAUACUGUGUUUCUGCCUCUGCCUGAACCCAAACCCCUCCCAGCCUGACAGAAAUGUUCGCUUACGCAGCUAGCCCUGCCUCAGUUUGUACAUCUACCUGUCGGCUGAGACAUCAGAAGUCGAUGUCCAUGUCAGCCUCUGGGCACCCCAAGAUGAUGUUACCUCCAAUAGACAGUGAAGGAGAUAACUUCAAGGCUAUGUAAGAAAAAUGCACAUUCUUUGUGAAACUAAUGUGUACCCACUGCUUCUUAAUUUUGUGCUGUGGAUUUUAUAGUCUGAGAUUUUGUUACCGUUGUCCACAAGGCGUCCUUCCUCCAUGUGAUUUUAGUUAAGCACAUCUUUUGUCAUGAUGUCCUCGGUUGUGUAUUGUGUGUCUUCGUGCCUUCGCGUACUACAAAAUGUAUAAGAAGUUCCUGCUCCUCCCAAGUUGCUUUCAGCAUGCGGAAUUUUAUACAUAUAUCAUUUGUUUACUUCCAAAACUUUUUAGUUGCCUGUUCUUCAGUUACGCCAGCAUAUCCUUUAUUUCUUUCGUAUUGGCACAGUUCUCUAUGUAAGCAAUUUGAGAGGGAAGCAAAGGGGAAAAGUUUGAGUUAGCUGUUCUCUGUCCUAGAUUUUCCCUGCAUUAAUCUUGUCCUUGAAAAUAUAUAUAAUACUGGUCCCUUAAACUCCAUGAGGCUUUGUCUCAUUAUGUAUUGUUCUUUUGGUACCCUUUCCCACUUAACUUACCUUUUGCUCCUAAGUCCUAUAAAAUACCCCUUGGAUCUGGAUUUUUUAUACCCGAUUUUCUCCACUGUGUAUAAAAGGUAUAUUGUGACUGUAAAUUUUUGUAUAUCAUGUUCUGAGAGCUUCUUACUUUCUGAUCUCAUAGCACUAUUCCUGAUCAGAGAACUCCAGUUGCUUCAACACACAGUAUCAGUAGUGCAGCCACCCCAGAUCGAAUCCGCUUCCCAAGAGGCACUGCCAGUCGUAGCACUUUCCACGGCCAGCCCCGGGAACGGCGAACCGCAACAUAUAAUGGCCCUCCUGCCUCUCCCAGCCUGUCCCAUGAAGCCACACCAUUGUCCCAGACUCGAAGCCGAGGCUCCACUAAUCUCUUUAGUAAAUUAACUUCAAAACUCACAAGGAGUCGCAAUGUAUCUGCUGAGCAAAAAGAUGAAAACAAAGAAGCAAAGCCUCGAUCCCUGCGCUUCACCUGGAGCAUGAAAACCACUAGUUCAAUGGAUCCCGGGGACAUGAUGCGGGAAAUCCGCAAAGUGUUGGACGCCAAUAACUGCGACUAUGAGCAGAGGGAGCGCUUCUUGCUCUUCUGCGUCCACGGAGAUGGGCAUGCGGAGAACCUCGUGCAGUGGGAAAUGGAAGUAUGCAAGCUGCCAAGACUGUCUCUGAACGGGGUCCGGUUUAAGCGGAUAUCGGGGACAUCCAUAGCCUUCAAAAAUAUUGCUUCCAAAAUUGCCAAUGAGCUAAAGCUGUAACCCAGUAAUUAUGAUGUAAAUUAAGUAGCAAUUAAAGUGUUUUCCUGAACACUGAUGGAAAUGUAUAGAAUAAUAUUUAGGCAAUAACGUCUGCAUCUUCUAAAUCAUGAAAUUAAAGUCUGAGGACGAGAGCACGCCUGGGAGCGAAAGCUGGCCUUUUUUCUACGAAUGCACUACAUGAAAGAUGUGCAACCUGUGCGCCCCCUGCCCUACUUCCGUUACCCUGAGAGUCGGCGUGUGGCCCCAUCUCCAUGUGCCUCCCGUCUGGGUGGGUGUGAGAGUGGACGGUAUGUGUGUGAAGUGGUGUAUAUGGAAGCAUCUCCCUACACUGGCAGCCAGUCAUUACUAGUACCUCUGCGGGAGAUCAUCCGGUGCUAAAACAUUACAGUUGCCAAGGAGGAAAAUACUGAAUGACUGCUAAGAAUUAACCUUAAGACCAGUUCAUAGUUAAUACAGGUUUACAGUUCAUGCCUGUGGUUUUGUGUUUGUUGUUUUGUGUUUUUUUAGUGCAAAAGGUUUAAAUUUAUAGUUGUGAACAUUGCUUGUGUGUGUUUUUCUAAGUAGAUUCACAAGAUAAUUAAAAAUUCACUUUUUCUCAGU
RNAcentral lists this small RNA (3590 nucleotides) under Pan troglodytes (chimpanzee). RNAcentral's name for it is "retained intron". The record is from RNAcentral. Lineage: Eukaryota; Metazoa; Chordata; Mammalia; Primates; Hominidae.